Molecule: ribosomal RNA, 52 nt
Filed under: Pestalotiopsis sp. Y20-11
Lineage: Eukaryota; Fungi; Ascomycota; Sordariomycetes; Amphisphaeriales; Sporocadaceae
Description: partial 28S ribosomal RNA
Source: RNAcentral
GGAUCAGGUAGGAAUACCCGCUGAACUUAAGCAUAUCAAUAAGACGGAGGAA